GUGGGGAAUUUUGGACAAUGGGCGAAAGCCUGAUCCAGCCAUGCCGCGUGCAGGAUGAAGGCCUUCGGGUUGUAAACUGCUUUUGUACGGAACGAAAAGACUCCUUCUAAUAAAGGGGGUCCAUGACGGUACCGUAAGAAUAAGCACCGGCUAACUACGUGCCAGCAGCCGCGGUAAUACGUAGGGUGCGAGCGUUAAUCGGAAUUACUGGGCGUAAAGCGUGCGCAGGCGGCUUUGCAAGACAGAUGUGAAAUCCCCGGGCUCAACCUGGGAACUGCAUUUGUGACUGCAAGGCUAGAGUACGGCAGAGGGGGAUGGAAUUCCGCGUGUAGCAGUGAAAUGCGUAGAUAUGCGGAGGAACACCAAUGGCGAAGGCAAUCCCCUGGGCCUGUACUGACGCUCAUGCACGAAAGCGUGGGGAGCAAACAGGAUUAGAUACCCCAGUAGUCC
Molecule: ribosomal RNA, 450 nt
Filed under: uncultured bacterium
Lineage: Bacteria
Description: partial 16S ribosomal RNA
Rfam family: Bacterial small subunit ribosomal RNA
Source: RNAcentral